GCAGCGACGCCGCGUGGGGGAUGACGGCCUUCGGGUUGUAAACCUCUUUCAGCAGGAAGAAGCGAAAGUGACGGUACCUGCAGAAGAAGCACCGGCCAACUACGUGCCAGCAGCCGCGGUGAUACGUAGGGUGCGAGCGUUGUCCGGAUUUAUUGGGCGUAAAGGGCUCGUAGGUGGUUGAUCGCGUCGGAAGUGUAAUCUUGGGGCUUAACCCUGAGCGUGCUUUCGAUACGGGUUGACUUGAGGAAGGUAGGGGAGAAUGGAAUUCCUGGUGGAGCGGUGGAAUGCGCAGAUAUCAGGAGGAACACCAGUGGCGAAGG
This 320-nucleotide ribosomal RNA is filed under the name Ctenophora environmental sample. RNAcentral describes it as "partial Bacterial small subunit ribosomal RNA". It matches the Rfam family "Bacterial small subunit ribosomal RNA", at positions 388 to 721 of the family's 1533-position model. The record is from RNAcentral. Lineage: Eukaryota; Metazoa; Ctenophora.